This is a long non-coding RNA of Passer montanus (Eurasian tree sparrow), 1043 nucleotides long. RefSeq lists it as uncharacterized. The transcript has 2 exons. NCBI's taxonomy places the organism in Eukaryota, Metazoa, Chordata, Aves, Passeriformes, Passeridae. The record is from RefSeq and is a predicted model, not a curated record.
GCCGCCCGCCUCCCCGCGCCGGCAGGGAGCGACGGGGGAGCCCGGCUGGCGUUCCGGCGCGGAGCCGCGGCGGGGUGUCCGCCGCCUGGCCGGGAGGGGGCGGUGGAGCCGGUGUCGCGCCGCCGCCGCGCUCCUCAGCCCCGGCUCCUGUCGUGCCGUGCGCCCACCGUGGGGCUGAGGCGGCAGCGACCCCAGCCUGGGGCGUGAGCGGGGGCGGUGUUUCGGGGAGGCCUCGCAUUUAUGGCUGUCUGUAUCCGGUGAGCCCCGCGCAGCGCUGUGCCCCUCAGCGAUGGCAGCGGUGCUUUCGCUUUCCCUGCGGUGUGUGGCUGCUCGGCCCCAAGCGGCAGCGGGGGCUCAUGGCCUGGGAUCCUCGGCCCGGGAAUAAGCCGGAAUCCCGCUUUUGUGUGUAACAUGUACGUGUGCGCUGAUCAUCACAAAUAAGCGUGUCUGAUACACGGCUUGUGCCAGGAAGCUUCGGACAGUGCUGAAGUCUCGUGCCUAAGUGGAUUUGUUUAACCUCAGCAACUCAUUCCUGCUUCAGAAACCUUUUCCAUGGAUCAUGAACUACCUUACCAGGCUGGACUGUCUUGAACACCAUCUCAGAGAGAACUAAGCUCUCUCUCACAUGGAGAGAUAGUGAUACUGUUAUUAGAAAAAAUGAAAUGUGCUCAGAUGAAAAUAACCAAAUCAGAACUGUCAGAAUGAUGUGCGCAUGUAGCAUUCUCAAGAAGUGGUCAGCAGUUGCACAGAAGAAUUGACACUACAGUCUGUAAUUUAUUGCAAAAUAAAAUUUGUAUGUGUUUAAGGGUUUGUAAGUCAACAUGUUACCUGCAUAGAGAAAGGAAUUUGAGCAAAAAGGAGCUACUGAUUUUGUGCCAUUCUUCCAAACCUCUGCAAAUUCUUCGUGGCUGAUAAAGGAUAACCAAGCAUGCUUAUAACCAUGUUUUAAUAGGGUUUUGUGUCUGUUAUCCUGUUGCAAGAAAUAGGUGCUGCUUACCAUUGUGAAGUGGUAUGUGUAUCAAUAAAAUCUCGCUCAAGGCACA